Molecule: ribosomal RNA, 604 nt
Filed under: uncultured bacterium
Lineage: Bacteria
Description: bacterial SSU rRNA
Rfam family: Bacterial small subunit ribosomal RNA
Source: RNAcentral
UUGGCGGCGUGGAUUAGGCAUGCAAGUCGAACGAAUCCCGACGCUGUAGCAAUACAGUGAAGGGGGAAGUGGCGAAAGGGGCAGUAAGGCGUGGGUAACCUACCUCCGGGACGUGGAUAGCCAUUCUAACGAGUGGGUAAUACGCGGCGAUUUGAUUGAGGGGCAUCCCUUGGUCAGGAAAUGAAUUUCGCCUGGAGAGGGGCUCACGUGAUAUUAGCUAGUUGGUAGGGUAACGGCCUACCAAGGCAAAGAUGUCUAGCGGGUGUGUGAGCACGACCCGCGCCACUGGCACUGAGACACUGGCCAGACACCUACGGGUGGCUGCAGUCGAGGAUCUUUGGCAAUGAGCGCAAGCUUGACCAAGCGACGCCGCGUGUGCGAUGAAGGCCUUCGGGUUGUAAGGCACUGUCGAGGGGGACGAAGCCGCAAGGUUGACCGAUCCCUGGAGGAAGCACGGGCUAAGUUCGUGCCAGCAGCCGCGGUAAGACGAACCGUGCGAACGUUGUUCGGAAUCACUGGGCUUAAAGGGCGCGUAGGCGGCUUGCCAAGUCAGUGGUGAAAUCCCGCAGCUUAACUGCGGAAGUGCCUUUGAUACUGGCGAGCU